CAGCAGCUGAGCAAACACAACCUUCCCAGAGAGUGGGGGAAAAGUUAUCAAUAAACUUCUGUCAAGCCCCAGGAGCAAAGAGAGAAACAAAAGGGGAGAGACCAAUGGCCUGGGUGGAGAAAAGAAGAGAAGGCUUCACCCCAUCAUCACUCACGUCACAAUCAGACACACUGAUUCUGGUCAGAGGACAUGAUGGGCUUCUCACCAGGACCUAACCGAGAUCUUGUACUACAUGGUAAAUAAGACCUGCUCAGAAGGGGACAUGGGGAUGUCUUUCUU
Non-coding RNA from Thamnophis sirtalis, 279 nucleotides. The record is from RefSeq and is a predicted model, not a curated record. NCBI's taxonomy places the organism in Eukaryota, Metazoa, Chordata, Lepidosauria, Squamata, Natricidae.